UCCAUCGCGAGGUGGAAUCCGGAGGAAGCUGGAGACAAACUCUCGACCCGAGGUACACGAAUCGCAUCUGAGGCUGUCGCAGUUGGAUGAGUUGCCAAGACACAACGAAGUCCGAAGUCCAAGGGCUGUGGCAGUAAAUGCGGCGGGUGCAUGAGAGGAAAGGGGCCGCU
RNAcentral lists this non-coding RNA (170 nucleotides) under Paenalicyclobacillus macrosporangiidus. The record is from RNAcentral. Lineage: Bacteria; Bacillati; Bacillota; Bacilli; Caryophanales; Alicyclobacillaceae.